CCGACAACCUUGUAUUUUUUUCCCGGUAGCUACAGUGUUUCCAGUUUCCAGUUUUCAGUUUCAGUUUCCGGCAGCUACAGUGUUUCCAGUUAUCCGGCAGCUGCAGUGUUUCCAGUUUUCAGUUUCCUUCAUCUGUUUCAGCGAGUUUUCAGUUGGUUCUUUCUGAUUAUUUGGUGAUAACCCAACGAUGUCUUUGGGACUCUAUGUUUUGGGUCUAAAAACCCGGGUUCUGGCAGUUCCGGUGUUAUGAUUACCUCAGAACCUUUAAUGGGAGGUUCAAACUACCUAGCUUAGGCUUCGUCUGUCGAGUUA
This 312-nucleotide long non-coding RNA is filed under the name Nicotiana benthamiana. Its description in RNAcentral is "long non-coding RNA (NBEN_LNC035088)". The record is from RNAcentral. Lineage: Eukaryota; Viridiplantae; Streptophyta; Magnoliopsida; Solanales; Solanaceae.